GACGAACGCUGGCGGCGUGCCUAAUACAUGCAAGUAGAACGCUGAAGCUUGGUGCUUGCACCGAGUGGAUGAGUUGCGAACGGGUGAGUAACGCGUAGGUAACCUGCCUGGUAGCGGGGGAUAACUAUUGGAAACGAUAGCUAAUACCGCAUAACAGUAGAUAUCGCAUGAUAGCUACUUGAAAGGUGCAAAUGCACCACUACCAGAUGGACCUGCGUUGUAUUAGCUAGUUGGUGAGGUAACGGCUCACCAAGGCAACGAUACAUAGCCGACCUGAGAGGGUGAUCGGCCACACUGGGACUGAGACACGGCCCAGACUCCUACGGGAGGCAGCAGUAGGGAAUCUUCGGCAAUGGACGGAAGUCUGACCGAGCAACGCCGCGUGAGUGAAGAAGGUUUUCGGAUCGUAAAGCUCUGUUGUAAGAGAAGAACGAGUGUGAGAGUGGAAAGUUCACACUGUGACGGUAUCUUACCAGAAAGGGACGGCUAACUACGUG
This 497-nucleotide ribosomal RNA is filed under the name uncultured bacterium. Its description in RNAcentral is "partial 16S ribosomal RNA". It matches the Rfam family "Bacterial small subunit ribosomal RNA", at positions 28 to 507 of the family's 1533-position model. The record is from RNAcentral.